CGCCCUUAGAGUUUGAUCCUGGCUCAGAAUCAACGCUGGCGGCGUGCCUAACACAUGCAAGUCGAACGCGAAAGCCCCGCAAGGGGUGAGUAGAGUGGCAAACGGGUGAGUAACACGUGGGUGACCUGCCGUCGAGUGGGGGAUAACGUCCCGAAAGGGACGCUAAUACCGCAUACGAUGCCGCCUUUGAAGAGGGGGACAUCAAAGCUGGGGAUCGCAAGACCUGGCGCUUGACGAGGGGCCCGCGCCUGAUUAGCUAGUUGGUGGGGUAAUGGCUCACCAAGGCGACGAUCAGUAUCCGGCCUGAGAGGGCGGACGGACACACUGGGACUGAGACACGGCCCAGACUCCUACGGGAGGCAGCAGUGGGGAAUUGUUCGCAAUGGGCGCAAACCUGACGACGCAACGCCGCGUGGAGGAUGAAGAUCUUCGGGUCGUAAACUCCUUUCGAUCGAGACGAAGAACCGGGGGGUGAAUAGCCCGCCGGUGUGACGGUACCGAGAGAAGAAGCCCCGGCUAACUCCGUGCCAGCAGCCGCGGUAAUACGGGGGGGGCAAGCGUUGUUCGGAAUUACUGGGCGUAAAGGGCUCGUAGGCGGCCAACUAAGUCGGACGUGAAAUCCCUCAGCUUAACUGGGGAAUGGCGUCCGAUACUGGAUGGCUUGAGUUCGGGAGAGGGAUGCGGAAUUCCAGGUGUAGCGGUGAAAUGCGUAGAUAUCUGGAGGAACACCGGGUGGGCGAAGGCGGCAUCCUGGACCGGCACUGACGCUGAGGAGCGAAAGCCAGGGGAGCAAACGGGAUUAGAUACCCCGGUAGUCCUGGCCCUAAACGAUGAAA
Molecule: ribosomal RNA, 836 nt
Filed under: uncultured bacterium
Lineage: Bacteria
Description: bacterial SSU rRNA
Rfam family: Bacterial small subunit ribosomal RNA
Source: RNAcentral